CCUACGUGUGGCUGCAGUAGGGAAUAUUGCUCAAUGGGGGAAACCCUGAAGCAGCAACGCAGCGUGGAGGAUGAAUGCUUUAGGAUUUUAAACUCCUUUUUAUAGAGAAGUUUAUGACGGCAUCUAACGCAUAAUCACCGUCUAACUCCGUGCCAGCAGCCGCGGUAAUACGGAGGGUGCCAGCGUUACUCGGAAUCACUGGGCGUAAAGAGUGCGUAGUCGGGGUAAUAAGUCAGAUGUGAAAUCCUGUAGCUUAACUACAGAACUGCAUGUGAAACUGUUAAUCUUGAGUGUGGGAGAGGUAGGUGGAAGUCGUGGUGUAGGGGUAAAAUGCGUAGAGAUCAAGAAGAAUACUGAUUGCGAAGGCGACUUGCUAAAAUAUUACUGACGCUGAUGCACGAAAGCGUGGGGAGCAAACAGGAUUAGAUACCCGAGUAGUC
RNAcentral lists this ribosomal RNA (440 nucleotides) under uncultured bacterium. RNAcentral describes it as "partial 16S ribosomal RNA". It matches the Rfam family "Bacterial small subunit ribosomal RNA", at positions 338 to 795 of the family's 1533-position model. The record is from RNAcentral.